Molecule: long non-coding RNA, 722 nt
Filed under: Junco hyemalis (dark-eyed junco)
Lineage: Eukaryota; Metazoa; Chordata; Aves; Passeriformes; Passerellidae
Description: lncRNA (ENSJHYG00000007263.1)
Source: RNAcentral
UAUCAGAUACGAAAGUCCAGACCACGUGUACUUUGUUCUUCCUAACACAUUUCCAAGUCUACAAAUAGAAAAGAGUCCAAAGGAGCAGAUGACUAUUAACUAAUAUUCUUGCAAUGUCGUGCAAUUUUGGCAUUUCAUACGCAGUUUUCAUAAUAAUUUACAGGCAUGCAUUUCUUCAAAAGCAGACAGUGAUAUAACAUUGUGUAAAGCCCUUUGGAUGCCCCUCUCCUCAGCCCUGGAAUCUCUCUGAACUGUCCAUUCUCACUCUCCUGAUUUUUCGGGUCUGACCAGCACAACACAGAGUUGGGAACUUGCUGGACAGCUCAGCCUCGUCACUGGAGGGAACUGGAGGAGAUGUGACAUUCAGGGCAGAGCCAAUUAUCCUGCAGUGAACACUGCAGUCAGGUUAGCUGAACGUGGGUGUUCCCAGCGCCAGCCGGCAUCGGAUUCCAGCCCUCCCAGGGGACCGGAGCUCCUAGGGUGGGUAUGGAAGUGCUUGGCUCCCUCCUCUCCCUUCAUAGCUGUGAAAGAAACCUCUCAGCUUCUGUCACAUCUGACUGCCUCACGCUUCCCCAAAACAGCCGCGCUCUGACGAGGGAGACAGGCGUUCCGACAGCAGAGCAGCGCUAGCUACCAACCUCACCAGAAAACACAAGCUGAGGACAGAACCCCUGGCUAAAUAUAGAGCCCAGCUGGGAGAGAAAACAAUGUGGCAUUGCAGA